This 253-nucleotide ribosomal RNA is filed under the name uncultured bacterium. RNAcentral describes it as "partial 16S ribosomal RNA". It matches the Rfam family "Bacterial small subunit ribosomal RNA", at positions 524 to 776 of the family's 1533-position model. The record is from RNAcentral.
UACGUAGGGUGCAAGCAUUAAUCGGAUUUAUUGGGCGUAAAGGGCGCGUAGGCGGGAACGUAAGUCAUAUGUGAAAUCCCGGGGCUCAACCCCGGAACAGCAUCUGAAACUGCGUUUCUUGAGGGUAGGCGGAGAAAACGGAAUUCCACAAGUAGCGGUGAAAUGCGUAGAUAUGUGGAAGAACACCAGUGGCGAAGGCGGUUUUCUAGCUUAUACCUGACGCUGAUGCGCGAAAGCAAGGGGAGCAAACAGG